GGACUAAUUACGGAAAUCGACCAUUAGGGGGAAAGAAGAGCCGAUCCGGACCAUCCGACGGGCCAGCGCGUGGAUCCCCCCCUUUUUGCUCAAACGGCGCCGUUUUAUCCAUUAUUAAAAACAGAUUUUUUUUUAAAUCAUUUUCAGCCUUGUAUUUUAGAAAACCCUAAAACUUUUCCUUUUGAGGUUCUCUCAUUUCCCCUUUUUCGAUAGGCGCCACCCUCAUCGGAGAUCAGGCGCGCCUAGGCCACAGACGUUGCGAGUUCGCUAGUUCGUGAUUGAACGUGCCACUGACGUGGCGUGGUGGAGAGGCGCACAACGCGGAGGGACGCGCGACGUGCGGUGCCUAAAGGCUUGCUAUUUGCUGAAACGGCGCAAAAGGGGCUGCUAUGGUUUCCCAUGCCGAAAAUGUUUUGGGUUUGUGGGCCAAUUGGGCCGUAUUUGUAAAUAGGUAUUUAAGGUUUGGGGUAAGGUUUUAUUUCUUUGGGUUUGGGUCUAUUUUUGUUGGGUUUUGGCUUCUAGUAGUUUGGGCCGGGUAAAUUUUGGGCCCUACAAUAACUAUCAUCAAAUAACAACUCAAAGGUCCCAAAUCACCUGGACCGUGCAUGA
Long non-coding RNA from Gossypium arboreum, 609 nucleotides. RefSeq lists it as uncharacterized. The record is from RefSeq and is a predicted model, not a curated record. The transcript has 2 exons. Lineage: Eukaryota; Viridiplantae; Streptophyta; Magnoliopsida; Malvales; Malvaceae.